Molecule: ribosomal RNA, 613 nt
Filed under: Valgus hemipterus
Lineage: Eukaryota; Metazoa; Arthropoda; Insecta; Coleoptera; Scarabaeidae
Description: partial 16S large subunit ribosomal RNA
Rfam family: Bacterial large subunit ribosomal RNA
Source: RNAcentral
UUUAAAGUCUAACCUGCCCAAUGAGGAGUUGAAUGGCCGCGGUAUUUUGACCGUGCAAAGGUAGCAUAAUCAUUAGUUUUUUAAUUGAAAGCUAGAAUGAAUGGUUGAACGAAAAAAUGACUGUCUCAAUUUAAUUUUAUUAAAAUUUUAUUUUUAAGUAAGAAAGCUUAGAUGUUGUUAAAAGACGAGAAGACCCUAUAGAGUUUUAUAUACAUUAAAUAUAACUAAUUUUUAGUAUAAUUUUAUUAUUUAUAUUAAGGUAUAUUUUAUUGGGGCGAUAAAAAAAUUUAAGGAACUUUUUUUUUUAAAAAUCAUUUGUAAAUGAAUAAUUGAUCCAUAGUUUAUGAUUAUAAGAUUAAAUUACCUUAGGGAUAACAGCGUAAUUUUUUUUGAGAGUUCUUAUCGAAAAAAAAGAUUGCGACCUCGAUGUUGGAUUAAAAUAAAUUAAUGGUGUAGAAGCUAUUUAAUUAAGUCUGUUCGACUUUUAAAAUUUUACAUGAUCUGAGUUUAAACCGGUGUGAGCCAGGUUGGUUUCUAUCUUUAAUUGAAUUAUAUAUUUUAGUACGAAAGGACCAAAUAUAUGUAAAAGUUAUUAUAAGAUGAUAAAUAUUAA